RNA transcript from Columba livia (rock pigeon), 2059 nucleotides. It is a transcript of the gene named tryptophan 2,3-dioxygenase, with no coding region annotated. The transcript has 13 exons. The record is from RefSeq and is a predicted model, not a curated record. NCBI's taxonomy places the organism in Eukaryota, Metazoa, Chordata, Aves, Columbiformes, Columbidae.
GGGCUGGCCUAGGCCAUGAGCUAAGGUUACAUAUAGAGUGGCUUCAGUGGAUCUGGGAACAGUAACAGAGUGUAUUCCCUGGUGCACAGCUUGGCGAGUUUGGAUCCUGGAAUCAUGAGCGGGUGCCCCUUCGCAGGGAACAACUACCCAUUUAAUUUUAACAAGCUAUCUUUGGAAGAUGAAAAAGAAGACAAAUCACAAGAAGGGAUAAAUAAAGCCAGCAAAGGUGGACUUGUCUAUGGAGAUUACCUACAGCUAAACAAAAUAUUGAAUGCUCAAGAACUUCAGAGUGAGAAGAAAGGAAAAAAAAUCCAUGAUGAGCAUCUUUUCAUUGUGACGCAUCAAGCUUAUGAACUUUGGUUUAAGCAGAUUCUGUGGGAAAUGGACUCUGUGCGAGUGAUCUUUCAAAAUGGCCACGUAAGAGAUGAGAGGAACAUGCUGAAGGUUAUUACUCGAAUGAACAGAAUUUCAAUGAUUCUGAAAUUACUUGUGGAACAGUUCUCAGUUUUGGAAACUAUGACUGCAUUGGACUUCUUUGAUUUCAGAUACUACCUAAGCCCAGCAUCAGGUUUCCAGAGCCUGCAGUUUCGCUUGCUAGAGAACAAAAUUGGUGUUCCCCAAAGUCUGAGAGUCCCCUAUAACAGAAGGCAUUAUCGUGAUAACUUCAAGGGACAGGAUUAUGAACUACUGCUUAAAUCAGAGCAAGAACCUACGCUACUGCAACUUGUGGAGGCAUGGCUGGAAAGAACUCCAGGACUCGAGGCAGAAGGAUUUGAUUUCUGGGGACAAUUUGAAGUGAAUGUUUUAAAAGGUCUAGAAGAGGAAUUUGCCUUGGUGCAGGCCAAACCAGAAUCAGAAGAAAAAGAUGAUUUAUUAUCUGAAUUCCAGAAACAGAAAGAUGUAUUGCUCUCAUUAUUUGAUGAAAAACGCCAUGAACACCUGCUUAGUAAAGGAGACAGACGACUGUCUUACAAAGCACUGAAGGGUGCCUUGAUGAUCUACUUCUACAGGGAGGAGCCUCGCUUUCAGGUUCCCUUUCAGCUUCUUACCUCCCUUAUGGAUAUCGAUGUGCUCAUGACCAAAUGGAGAUACAACCACGUCUGCAUGGUGCACAGAAUGAUUGGCAGCAAGGCUGGCACUGGAGGCUCCUCAGGCUACCAAUAUUUGCGCUCAACAGUGAGUGACAGAUACAAGGUGUUUGUGGAUUUGUUCAAUCUUUCAACAUUUCUAGUGCCCAGACACUGGAUACCAAAGAUGAAUCCAACCAUUCACAAAUUCCUUUACACAGCGGAAUACUGUGACAGCUCCUAUUUUAGCAGCGAUGACUCUGACUAGCCUGCCUUUGUAGACUGGUUGCUGCAAAGAACUUCAGGACUUUCACCUUGAGUGGUGCUGCCCGUCAAAUACAACAGCUGCUCUCAUGGAGGUUGCGGAGGAGUGCUAUUGUUGUUUGUAAACUGCUAAGGGAAGGCCAUACUACAGAAGACUGUAAGACUACAGAAGACUUCCCCUCUUGUUAAUCUGAAGUUUUCAGCCAGUAAAUUCAGUAAGUAGCAGAACAUGAAAUAGCGAGAACAUAGCACUUGGUCUUCCUUUAAUUUAAAAUAUUAACACUUAGAAGCAGAAGGACUAAAAUUAUAAUACUUACAAUAGACUAUUAUGAUUGCAUUUGUCAUAAAAAGAUAAUAAUGUGGUGAUCUAUUGACAAGGUACAGUAACUGAAUGCAAAAAACUACAGAAUUGCUUCAAUACUUUUCAUAGUAGUGCUUUAGAAAGGACACAGGUAAAGCAUUCAAGAUGAAAGACUCAAAGCAUUUUGGAAUUACAUGUUUGGUUGUGAAUCUUAAUUACAUUUGCCUCUAAACACAAUUUUACAGGUCAACAGGGCCUUUUGAUUGCCAGCAAGUCCCACCUAUAUUAAUUCAAUUAAUGUAUGGAAAUUUAACAUCCACUCUAUUUGCAGUAUUGUAUAACUGCUGAUUUUCUAAAGGUGCUCAAUAUAUAUUAACAAACCCCACCCUCACCAUUUUUUUCUAUAAUAAAUAAGGUUUUUAAUUUC